AUCCAGACUCCUACGGGAGGCAGCAGUGAGGAAUAUUGGUCAAUGGCCGGGAGGCUGAACCAGCCAAGUCGCGUGAGGGAAGACUGCCCUAUGGGUUGUAAACCUCUUUUGUCAGGGAGCAAUUGGCGCUACGUGUAGCGUUAUCGAGAGUACCUGAAGAAAAAGCAUCGGCUAACUCCGUGCCAGCAGCCGCGGUAAUACGGAGGAUGCGAGCGUUAUCCGGAUUUAUUGGGUUUAAAGGGUGCGUAGGCGGAAUGCCAAGUCAGCGGUAAAAUCGCGGGGCUCAACCUCGCUCCGCCGUUGAAACUGGCGUUCUUGAGUGGGCGAGAAGUAUGCGGAAUGCGUGGUGUAGCGGUGAAAUGCAUAGAUAUCACGCAGAACUCCGAUUGCGAAGGCAGCAUACCGGCGCCCAACUGACGCUGAAGCACGAAAGCGUGGGUAUCGAACAGGAUUAGAUACCCCCGUAU
RNAcentral lists this ribosomal RNA (467 nucleotides) under uncultured bacterium. Its description in RNAcentral is "bacterial SSU rRNA". It matches the Rfam family "Bacterial small subunit ribosomal RNA", at positions 329 to 793 of the family's 1533-position model. The record is from RNAcentral.